UCUCAGCCUGGGAGCUGUAACAGUGAUUGAUUCCCAGAGGUUCUAUACAGGAUGAGAUAAGGGUGGACACAUCCUCUCCCCAUCAGCAAAGACCCUUGUAAAUGUCAGAGAGGCAAUGGUCCAUACUGGGAUGUCCCCCGAUGGCUACUUAGGAAGAUAGCCUUUGGGUACUUCUGAAAACCUGAGGGGAGAUAUAUAAGCCAUUCAGCCCCUAGAACCUAGUGUUGGGGGACACUGCCUCUACUCUCCAAAGACAAGUAGAGACAGUAGAUGACUUCAGUGAACUCUGAAGUGUUCUGAAGAAAAAGAAUUUCCAAGCAAUCUUCUCUGAGAUUCUUCCUUUCCCAUGAAAGAAGGAAGAGAGGAGGCAGAAGAUUCUGGAAGUGACCUGCUAGCUAAGUUAUAUCUUGAAUGUUUAUGGAUCAAUAUGCCAAUGGAUAAAGCACAAGAUGGAAUAUUAAUUGUUGUCUGCUACAGACCACCAGAUCACACUACUGAACAGGGUGACCAGCUUCUUAUGAAUGUAUCUACUAUCUGCAGAAAGUGAAAUGGAAUUGGAGCACGUCUCAAACCACAGCCAAAUACUGCUUGCUGACAGCCAAAUUGUUAACUGGUUUUGAAAAUAAGUCUCAACAGCAGCCAUGUUCUUCUGGCCUUCAAUCAUCUUUCCAGUUACUCCACACUCAACCCACAGCACCUGUGGGGUGUCUUUCCAGGGGGCCAGCAUUCACCCUCCAUCUCAAGUAUCUCUUCCCCUCUUUGUGUCCCUAGUGAUGCCACCAGACAGCCCUUAGUCAUCAAAACAAAGGUAACAAAACACCUGUAAGCAGCUCCAUCCAUAAUAUGGGCCUCUCUUACUUCAGAGAGUCCCUGGGAGUAUCAAUGUCCUCUUCAGCGUUCAGUGGGCUCCAGUGCAAACCUCAGUUCUGUUCCUCUUCAACUCAGGGGUUCUGCACCCUCCUUCUCUGAGGACAGGGCUUCUGUAGGCUGUAAACCCUCUCUCCUGGGCUGGAGAAGCUCAACUGUCUGUUCCCUCCCUGGGGUUUCCCUAUCUGAAUGCAGUUCCCUCUUUUUAACUCCAUGUCCUCUGGCAUGAUUUUCAGGUGCAGCAAGACAGGGCCAUUCAUUAACACCCUCUCUUUGGGAUUUUUCCUUUUCUGUCUGCUUUUCUCUUUUCUACACAUGUGCAUAAAAAAAAUCUGAUUCCAACAAUUCCCAUUCUCUUUUCCUCUGCUGCUGUCACUUUCCUUGGGCUUAAAAAAAUAAAAUAAAAAAAUUGAACCGUA
Molecule: long non-coding RNA, 1286 nt
Organism: Mauremys reevesii (Reeves's turtle)
Lineage: Eukaryota; Metazoa; Chordata; Testudines; Geoemydidae
Exons: 4
Source: RefSeq, a predicted model, not a curated record